Long non-coding RNA from Corvus hawaiiensis (hawaiian crow), 1510 nucleotides. RefSeq lists it as uncharacterized. The record is from RefSeq and is a predicted model, not a curated record. The transcript is spliced from 2 exons. Lineage: Eukaryota; Metazoa; Chordata; Aves; Passeriformes; Corvidae.
CUUUUUUUUUCCUUUUUUCCCCCUGUUUUCUUUUUUUUAAAAUUUUUUUUCCCAAAUUUCUGCUUCAGUCAUUUCUUGAAAUUUCCCAGCCCAAAGCGACAAUCCCAUAAGGAAUUUUUUCCCGUGAGAAGCCCGAGCCUGUGUUGAGCUGCCAAGAAUAUUUUUAAGGAGCACAGGGAGCUGCACCCCAGGCUGGGCUCUCCUGGGCUUCUUGGCCUGGGUGAUCAGGGAUUGGGUGUCCAAAUUAAUCCCAAUUCCAGGUUUUAUCCCGAUGACAAGGAUAAAUUCUCCAUACAGGGAAUGAUAAAUAUUCAGAUAUAUAAUUCUCCGUACAGGGAGAACAUUCUAGUCCGUGUUCCAGCGACUGGGAGUUCCCUCCUCCUGUCCUUUCCCUCCAUCCCUUCAUUUUAUCCCCAAGGAAAAGCAAAGUAGAGGUUUUUGCUUUGUUGCCCUGGUGAAGAAUUAAGGAUUCCCUGUCGGAGCAGGUCUGGGAUCCGCCCUCGCUCCCUGUGAGCGCCGGGGCCCUUCCCGCCCUCCCCACCUUCCACAGGUAAGUGUGGUGCCCUGGAAGGACCCCCAGGAUGGGGUUUGGAUGUGCCAGGCCCAGCUCUGGGGAAGGGGGGGGGUCGGUGGCUGCUCUUUUUGGGAACGUUUCAGGCAAAAUCAGCGCAGGUGCUCCAGGGGAGCCCGGACUGACCGAAUUCCAGGGGCCCAGAGUGGAACUGCUGGGCAGAUCCCAAGGGUUUAACGGGGCAGGAUUGCUCAGAGCCGGGCAGGUCCGUGGGAGCUGUGUCCGUCAUUCCCGCUGUCCGUGGAGGGAGCUCACGGAUCCGUGCCCACGGACGAGGCUGGACCGAGGAGUUGGGUUCCCCUCGGUGCUGAGGAACCUCCUGCGGGGGGAAGAGCAGGAGGGUCCCGGCUGCCCCCGGAGCUGCACCCCUUCCUCUCCCCCAGCCCCCCCAGUCUGUGCUCACGCUCUGCUGGGAGCGACUCCAGGCUGCUGUGGUUAAAAGGAUACUGUCAAUGCCCUCCUGUAGGUGGCUUUUAAUCCCUUAUAUUUAUUCAAAUCCUCUUUAGCGCUGUGGAUUCUCCCCCUCUCCUCAGGCGCCUUCAUUUCCAGAACUUUCUCCAGGUUUCGGGGUGGCAGAAGAUGGUGGUGACAGACUGGACGGGCGAGGGGUCACCCGGCAAUCACAGGAUUUGCACAACUCGGGGAAAAAAAAAACAAAAACAAAAAACACUUUUGUUUAGUUCAUACUGUGGCAGGGGAGAGCGAAAAGCGGGAUUUUGGAGCCAGGGCUGACUGAUCCCUUUGUAACAGAGCCGAGUUUUCCAGGGAAAACUCCCGAACACAGAACCCAAAGCAAUUUAUUUUCUGUUUGCAGACCAGGGUGACAGCAUUAAGGUAGCUCAAACUUCUUGACAGUGUCCUUUUAAGUCAAUUAUCCGUCUUCAAAUGGACUCUUCCUGAUGUUUAUAUUUAUAAAUACCAAUAAACACCAUUUUCCAA